This 253-nucleotide ribosomal RNA is filed under the name uncultured bacterium. RNAcentral's name for it is "partial 16S ribosomal RNA". It matches the Rfam family "Bacterial small subunit ribosomal RNA", at positions 524 to 776 of the family's 1533-position model. The record is from RNAcentral.
UACGGAGGGUGCAAGCGUUAUCCGGAUUCACUGGGUUUAAAGGGUGCGUAGGUGGGUUGGUAAGUCAGUGGUGAAAUCUCCAGGCUUAACUUGGAAACUGCCAUUGAUACUAUCAAUCUUGAAUACCGUGGAGGUCAGCGGAAUAUGUCAUGUAGCGGUGAAAUGCUUAGAUAUGACAUGGAACACCAAUUGCGAAGGCAGCUGGCUACACGAAUAUUGACACUGAUGCACGAAAGCGUGGGGAUCAAACAGG